Molecule: long non-coding RNA, 2513 nt
Filed under: Salmo salar (Atlantic salmon)
Lineage: Eukaryota; Metazoa; Chordata; Actinopteri; Salmoniformes; Salmonidae
Description: lncRNA (ENSSSAG00000104128.1)
Source: RNAcentral
CUCGCGCGCAAAUAUUAUUAACUAUUAAGCUAGCUAGUACCUAUUCCAUUUAUGUGGCGUCGUCAAAGAUGGAAUCAGCAUGCAGAUGAUGCAGAGCAGGCAACAGAUGGCACACAGACAGCAGAGUUGGAGACAGAUAUGCAGGGACAGACUGGCAGAGACAGGGAGUCUCAGUUGAAUCUCACUGACAUCAUCCGGCAGUAAGAAGAUGUCCACUCCACACCAGUAUUUCCCAGCAACCUUCAGGCUCAGUGUAUAUAUGACGACGGUGAAGACUGCAGCAGUGAUGUUGUCGUACACAGAGAAUCUCCCUUCUCUAACCCAGACGUCAUGCUUCCUGGUCCGAAGCUUCUUCAUGUGUCCCUCCACUCCCCUCACAGAGGAGCUUCCCUUCAUCCCAGAUGUCAUCUUGUUCUCUAUAGAGCACUGCCUUUGACCAGGGUCCAUUUGGGGGAAAGGUAAUAGGGUGCCAUUUGGGACACAUUCCUUGUAUAUAUUCUAUAGUACUACAUUAUUUUGGGUGGCUGGGCUGUAGAGUAGAUGGUGUCUUCUGGAGUGUCUUUAGAGAGGUGUACAGCAGGGUAUCUUGUAGAUUCUACAGUAUCUUUGGGUAGCUGGGCUGUAGAAUAGAUGGAAUCAUCCUGGGUUCCACUGGCUGUUGGAGGGCUUGAAGAGACUCUAGAAUCUUUGGGUAGAGAUCCAUAUUGGAGUAGAUGAGAGAAGCUGGGUGAUCUGCAGUAGAAUAGCUUGGAUUUCUAUAAUCUUUGUGGCAGCUUGCAUUAGCAUAGAUGUCACAGUGUGGGACACCGAUAGCAUGGCCAGCAGGGUAGGUGAGAGACGCUUGGUCAGCAGGGUAGGUAGUAGAGGCUUGGUCAGCAGGGUAGGUUGUAGAAGCUUGGCCAGCAGGGUAGGUUGUAGAGACUUGGCCAGCAGGGUAGGUUGUAGUGGCUUGGUCAGCAGGGUAGGUUGUAGAGGGUUGGCCAGCAGAGUAGGUUGUAGAGACUUGGCCAGUAGGGAAGGUUGUAGAGUGUUGGCCAGCAGGGUAGGUUGUAGAGACUUGGCCAGCAGGGUAGGUAGUAGAGACUUGGCCAGCAGGGUAGGUUGUAGAGACUUGGCCAGCAGGGUAGGUUGUAGAGACUUGGCCAGCAGGGUAGGUUGUAGAGACUUGGCCAGCAGGGUAGGUUGUAGAGGGUUGGCCAGCAGGGCAGGUUGUAGAGGUUUGACCAGCAGGGUAGGUUGUAGAGACUAGGCCAGCAGGGUAGGUAGUAGAGACUUGGCCAGCAGGGUAGGUUGUAGAGACUUGGCCAGCAGGGUAGGUUGUAGAGACUUGGCCAGCAGGGUAGGUUGUAGAGACUUGGCCAGCAGGGUAGGUUGUAGAGGGUUGGUCAGCAGGGUAGGUUGUAGAGGGUUGGCCAGAAGGGUAGGUUGUAGGUGAAUUGACAGUAGAGUAGACUAAAGAGAUGACCACAGGGAGUGUGUCUGUCUGUCUGUCUGCCUCUCUGAUCUCCUCAUACACACAGUCAACCUGCAUACAGAACCAAAGACAAUAAAUACAUGUUCAAAUAUGGAAAGAAGUCGAAGGUCCUCAACAAUCAACAACAUGUUAGCCACUGUAUUUCAUCAUGGAAUGAUAACAGACGACAGUACAAUCCAAUUAGAGGCUAUAGACUCACACACUCAACCCUAAGAUGUUUAGUUUACCACCUGCCUGUCUAUCACCACUACAAUAAAAGUUGUUAUGGACACACACACACGCACACACCACACACCCUGAUAUCUCUCACCUCUCCAGUAGGGUCAGGUUGUGUGUUGGAGGAGACUGGUGGUAGUGGUGGUGUUCUCCUGGUUCCUCUCCUCUGUCUGUAGAACAGGAGCAGGACCAGUCCUAACACUGUCACCAUGACUACCAGACCAGCACUGGUCCACACCAUCAGACCUGACCACAGACAGGAGGAGAGACUUUACAGAGUACUGUAUAUAUCAUAGAUACCAUCAGACCUGACCACAGACAGGAGGAGAGACUUUACAGAGUACUGUAUAUAUCAUAGAUACCAUCAGACCUGACCACAGACAGGAGGAGAGACUUUACAGAGUACUGUAUAUAUCAUAGAUACCAUCAGACCUGACCACAGAGAGGAGGAGAGACUUUACAGAGUACUGUAUAUAUCAUAGAUACCAUCAGACCUGACCACAGACAGGAGAGACUUUACAGAGUACUGUAUAUAUCAUAGAUACCAUCAGACCUGACCACAGACAGGAGGAGAGACUUUACAGAGAACUGUAUAUAUCAUAGAUACCAUCAGACCUGACCACAGACAGGAGGAGAUACUUUACAGAGCACUGUAUAUAUCAUAGAUACCAUCAGACCUGACCACAGACAGGAGGAGAUACUUUACAGAGUACUGUAUAUAUCAUAGAUACCAUCAGACCUGACCACAGACAGGAGGAGAUACUUUACAGAGUACUGUAUAUAUCAUAGAUACCAUCAGACCUGACCACAGACAGGAGGAGAG